AAAAAAAAAAAAAAGAGUAUCGUGAAUUUUAAUUUUUUGACAUCAUUUACAGGUUCAUUUUAAGUGACUGUUCAGUACCGCACCUCGACGAGCACGGAAUUCCCUACCUUGGCAUCUCAAGGCUUAGUAGUUCAGAACGUGGAGACAUUCGACGCUGGGGCGACUCAAACCAACAGUACUCAGGGAGUUCCUGAUCCUAUUUAUUUUUAGUUGACGCUAUUUCUUUAUUUUAGAAUUGCAUCAAUUAAUUCGUUGUGUGCUGGCCAUUUGAUAAUAUUGCCUUCAACCUAUUUGAUUGUUUUUCACGAACUAAAUUCCAUUGAUAUGUACUAGCCCUUUGAUAAUACUGCCUUAAACCUAUUCGAUUAUAUUUCACGAACUAAAUUCCAUUACUCAAUCGUUUACCCCACGUGACUAGACCUAGUAUUUGGACAUUUGCUUUUCUAUUUUAUUAGCAUUAGUAGUAUUAGCUUGCGAUCGAGCCAUAAGUAACCCCAAC
This 499-nucleotide long non-coding RNA is filed under the name Olea europaea subsp. europaea. Lineage: Eukaryota; Viridiplantae; Streptophyta; Magnoliopsida; Lamiales; Oleaceae. The record is from RNAcentral.